GGGAGCGUGGUGAAGGGAAACUUUCACGCCACGAUCUAAAUGGGAGGUGCCCCGGAUAAUACCGGGCAUCGACCCAACCCAAU
RNAcentral lists this non-coding RNA (83 nucleotides) under Dulcicalothrix desertica PCC 7102. Lineage: Bacteria; Bacillati; Cyanobacteriota; Cyanophyceae; Nostocales; Calotrichaceae. The record is from RNAcentral.